UACGUAGGAGACGAGCGUUGUCCGGAAUCACUGGGCGUAAAGCGCGUGUAGGCGGAUGAGCAAGUCGGAAGUGAAAGCCCGGGGCUCAACCCCGGAAUGUCUUUCGAAACUGCUGAGCUAGAGUGCAGAAGAGGCAACUGGAAUUCCCAGUGUAGCGGUGAAAUGCGUAGAUAUUGGGAAGAACACCUGAGGCGAAGGCGGGUUGCUGGGCUGACACUGACGCUGAGGCGCGAAAGCCAGGGGAGCGAACGGG
Molecule: ribosomal RNA, 253 nt
Filed under: uncultured bacterium
Lineage: Bacteria
Description: partial 16S ribosomal RNA
Rfam family: Bacterial small subunit ribosomal RNA
Source: RNAcentral